Molecule: long non-coding RNA, 1432 nt
Filed under: Physcomitrium patens
Lineage: Eukaryota; Viridiplantae; Streptophyta; Bryopsida; Funariales; Funariaceae
Description: long non-coding RNA (PPAT_LNC011076)
Source: RNAcentral
CACUUUCUCAGAAAACUCAAACAAAUCCUGAGUGUGAAACAGAAAGAGGAUCAAGACAUCAUCUGUUCCAUUGGAAAUCUCACAGAAAGCUUGAGGAUGAUCAAAUUUUGGCGCACUCAGCAGUGGCACAAGGGGAGAGAAGUGCAGUACCGAAUAGAAGUAUACAUGGAAGGCACCAAUGCUGUCGAGCGGAGUAAAGUAGCAGUGGUGAAAACUGAAAACACAUUGACUGCUCUAAGAGCUGAAGAGAGACUUAAGAUAAGGCACAUUAAUCAAACCUAAGCACUGAAAAAACAAGCACAGCAAAGACCUCGAAUUAACACAUGCAUUCUAACGACAAGAAUCAUAGGCCUAAUGUGACAAAUUUUAGAGAUUAAGUGGAAUUGAACCAACUGAAAAGAAGGAAGGGGUAACUCUACCUUCCAAUCACAGAAGAUACAAUUAGGGUUUAGAGGGAGAAUUAAUGCUACUGUAUUGCAGAGAUCUUACGAGAGGCACAACAGAAACACAAAAUUCAGCGUGUUUGACGCCGUCACGGAAUCCUUAAUAAAAUUAAUCACCGACCUAGAUUAGGACUGCACAAUGAGCCUAAUUUUCAAAACAACCCGCAUCUCUACUUGCAGUCCUCUCCCAAAGGAACGACGUUACACGUACAUAGUAAGCAAAGUACAAACUCAGAAGGAAAAACAACUCCAACAACCCAAAAUAGAACGUACCAUUCAGCACAGGAGCAGCACACGGAGAGACAAAGGAACUCGCAGCUGAUUGCUAGGGAAGUUAAGUGGAGAGCGAUUGAAGGACCGACGAAAUCCAGAACUGGAGAGAGAAUUGCCCAAAAGUGAUGACGUGAAUGAUUUUCAAGUCAACUGUAAGAGAUGCAAGUGAAGACCUAUGAAUCGAACAUGCUAUGCUACAAAUAGCCUUGGAGGACCUUUUCAAGAAAUAACACAGAACAAGAACAUGGUGAAAAGAUUAACUGAUGAAAUAAGCGUACUUGGUCCCAGAUUGAUGAAAUUAAGCGAACAAGAGAUUACGACACUGUCAAAUACUCCUUUCAAGUCUAUAAAAAAACGAGCCUGUACAGUCUGAACUUAAUGGCGCGGGGUUCCAUUACUCCAUAACCCCAACUCAAAUAAGCUACACAUGGGCCAGGAAUUUCAUUAACACAUCUUUGCGCAUGAAACUCAGCACAAACCAUCAAGUGCCAAAUCCGACUUACAUUACCCAUCAAGUGCCAAAUCCGACUUACAUUACCAGCACUGCUAUGCUUCUACUCUCGUUUCAAUCAGCUCACUGAGCUCUCCAAGACGUGCAUACGCAACGCAAGCCAUAGAGUACCAUCGCAAAAAUUUGAAAAGGAAUCCAUCAAAACAUGGGACAGACAGGAAUAAGCAGAAACAACUACAAAAAUGUGGGAUAAUAGUAAUGCGCA